RNAcentral lists this ribosomal RNA (492 nucleotides) under uncultured bacterium. RNAcentral describes it as "partial 16S ribosomal RNA". It matches the Rfam family "Bacterial small subunit ribosomal RNA", at positions 29 to 507 of the family's 1533-position model. The record is from RNAcentral.
AGUGAACGCUGGCGGUAGGCCUAACACAUGCAAGUCGAACGGCAGCACAGUAAGAGCUUGCUCUUACGGGUGGCGAGUGGCGGACGGGUGAGGAAUACAUCGGAAUCUACUUUUUCGUGGGGGAUAACGUAGGGAAACUUACGCUAAUACCGCAUACGACCUACGGGUGAAAGCAGGGGAUCUUCGGACCUUGCGCGAUUGAAUGAGCCGAUGUCGGAUUAGCUAGUUGGCGGGGUAAAGGCCCACCAAGGCGACGAUCCGUAGCUGGGCUGAGAGGAUGAUCAGCCAAACUGGAACUGAGACAAGGUCCAGACUCCUACGGGAGGCAGCAGUGGGGAAUAUUGGACAAUGGGCGCAAGCCUGAUCCAGCCAUACCGCGUGGGUGAAGAAGGCCUUCGGGUUGUAAAGCCCUUUUGUUGGGAAAGAAAAGCAGCAGGUUAAUACCCCGCUGUUCUGACGGUACCCAAAGGAUAAGCACCGGCUAACUUCGUG